CCUACGGGUGGCUGCAGUGGGGAAUAUUGGACAAUGGGGGCAACCCUGAUCCAGCCAUGCCGCGUGUGUGAAGAAGGCCCUCGGGUUGUAAAGCACUUUCAGUGAGGAAGAACGCCUGGUGGUUAAUACCCAUCAGGAAAGACAUCACUCACAGAAGAAGCACCGGCUAACUCCGUGCCAGCAGCCGCGGUAAUACGGAGGGUGCGAGCGUUAAUCGGAAUUACUGGGCGUAAAGCGCGCGUAGGUGGCUUGAUAAGCCGGUUGUGAAAGCCCCGGGCUCAACCUGGGAACGGCAUCCGGAACUGUCAAGCUAGAGUGCAGGAGAGGAAGGUAGAAUUCCCGGUGUAGCGGUGAAAUGCGUAGAGAUCGGGAGGAAUACCGGUGGCGAAGGCGGCCUUCUGGACUGACACUGACACUGAGGUGCGAAAGCGUGGGUAGCAAACAGGAUUAGAUACCCUAGUAGUC
This 465-nucleotide ribosomal RNA is filed under the name Vreelandella stevensii. RNAcentral's name for it is "partial 16S ribosomal RNA". It matches the Rfam family "Bacterial small subunit ribosomal RNA", at positions 338 to 795 of the family's 1533-position model. Lineage: Bacteria; Pseudomonadati; Pseudomonadota; Gammaproteobacteria; Oceanospirillales; Halomonadaceae. The record is from RNAcentral.